Molecule: long non-coding RNA, 1211 nt
Organism: Mya arenaria
Lineage: Eukaryota; Metazoa; Mollusca; Bivalvia; Myida; Myidae
Exons: 3
Source: RefSeq, a predicted model, not a curated record
AUUUGGUAUUAAUCGUAAAUUGCAGCUGAUGAUUGAUCGGAUGUAAUGAGCUAUGAGGGCCGAGUUCAUUUGCUGAUAACAAACAAAUUCAAUAAAACGAAAAGGGUUCCAUUUAAAAACGACAACUGAGGAGAAAGUCACAAUGCGCUAGUUAAGAUGCACUGAGCAUUCAAGAUACUUGGAUUAACGUCCGUGUUUGUCGGAACCGAAACUACAACUAAAAGAUGCACUGAGCAUUCAAGAUACUUGGAUUAACGUCCGUGUUUGUCGGAACCGAAACUACAACUAAAAGAUGCACUGAGCAUUCAAGAUACUUGGAUUAACGUCCGUGUUUGUCGGAACCGAAACUACAACUAAAAUAGUGAGUCAUAUAUUUUCAGAAAACAUUCUAGAAAUGAUAUAAAAGAGAUGGAAUAGAUAAACGUUUGUGCUUUCCAUCUUCAACAUCUGGAGUUCCAUGAUCACAAUGGCUACUGUUCUCCUUAAGCCGUCUGAGAUAAGAUUCUCACAAGACAGUAUAAGCAACAAGUUUUCGGGUGCGAUACAGAAUAGGUAUAUUGGUGAUGUACUUGAUCAAAUUUACAAUGGCGACAUAACAUUUCUUAAAAACAAAAUCCUGGCAAACAUGAAAGUGGGUCGCUGGAAUAAACCCGGAUACGAUCAGCUUUGGUUCACCGUUAACAACAGAAGCCUUUGGGUGCUGAAAGAACUCGAGCUACUUGGGAAAAUAAACGGUCAAAUCCAAAUACAAAUUGAUCCGCAUCAUAUCGACGCCAAGCGUUUUACUACUAAAAACAAAGGGACAACAGUUAUUGUCCGGCAAAGACCAGUAGGAGGAACCAGGGCACAGCCUGCUGAGUUUUGGGCAUAUAAACAGCCGCCAGUUAUUGGAGCCACCCAGUACGGUGCGGGUAUGUUCGCGCCAGCCAGCCUGUUCGGUGCGGUAGCGGCCUUAUUCGGUGGAGGCGGACUGUACGUGGAAGAGGAUGAUGGAUAUGAUUCCGACGAAUAUUAUAUCUAAGGGCGAUUAAUCGGGGAGGAAUCGUGUUAAGUCGGACUUGUGGCAUCGGCGAUCCUCGUUGGAUCAUUUUUGAUCGAUAUACGUGAGCGUUGUUCCAUGAACGCAAAAGAACUUGUUCGAUCAUAAGAAAAUGCCAACGCAUAUUUCCUUGUUUAUACUUUUCAAGUAAUUAAAAGAACAUCAAUUAGAA